AGUAACACGUCGAUAAUCUAACCUUAUGUCUAGGAUAACCUUGGGAAACUGAGGGUAAUACUGGAUAUGGGAUUGGUACUGGAGUGUCCUUUCUUUUAAAAGCAAUGCAUAAGGAUGGGUCGGCGGCAGAUUAGGUUGUUGGUGAGGUAAAGGCUCACCAAGCCGGAGAUCUGUAGGGGCCGUGAGAGCGGUAGCCCCGAGAAGAGCACUGAGAUACUGGCUCUAGCCCUACGGGGUGCAGCAGGCGCGAAACCUCUACAAUGCACUAACGUGUGAUAGGGGGAUCCAGGGUGCUUAGCUUAGCUAGGCUUUUGCCAACUGUAAAUAGGUUGGCGAAUAAGUGGUGGGCAAGACUGGUGCCAGCCGCCGCGGUAACACCAGCGCCACAAGUGGCAACUAUAAUUAUUGGGCCUAAAGCGUCCGUAGCCUGUUUGAUAAAUUUCUUGUGAAAUUGUUGUGCUCAACGCAACAACGUGCAGGAAAGACUGUCAAACUCGGGACUGGGAGGAGUUAGGAGUAUUUUGGGGGUAGCGGUAAAAUGUUAUAAUCCUCAUGAGACUACCGGUGGCGAAGGCGCCUAACUAGAACAGAUCCGACGGUGAGGGACGAAAGCUAGGGGAGCAAAUCGGAUUAGAUACCCGUGUAGUCCUAGCUGUAAACUCUGCGAGCAAGAUGUUGCACAUUCUUCGAGAAUGUGCAGUAUCGAAGAGAAGUCGUUAAGCUCGCCGCCUGGGAAGUAUGGUCGCAAGGCUGAAACUUAAAGGAAUUGGCGGGGGAGCACUACAAGGGGUGCGGCGUGCGGUUUAAUCUAACUCAACGCAGAGAAUCUCACCAGCAGCGACGGCAGGAUGAAUGUCAGAUUAAAGGUUUUACUUGACGAGCCGAGAGGUAGUGCAUGGCCGCCGUCAGCUCGUUCCGUAAGGUGUCCUGUUAAGUCAGGCAACGAGCGAGACCUGUACCUACAAUUGCCAGCAGCUUUUAGGACUGGGCACAUUGCGGGAACUGCCUUGGAAACAAGGAGGAAGGUGCAGGCUACGGUAGGUCUGUAUGCUCCGAAUCUGCUGGGCUACACGCGCGCAACAAUGGUAUGGACAAUGGGAUGCUACUCCGAAAGGAGACGCUAAUCCUCGAAACCAUAUCUCAGUUCAGAUUGAGGAUUGUAACUCAUCCUCAUGACGCUGGAAUCCCUAGUAAUCAGGUGUUAGCAUCGCCCGGUGAAUAUGUCCCUGCUCCUUGCACACACUGCCCGUCAAAUCAACCGAGUCGGGCCUGGAUGAGACUUACGCUUUUACGUGAGGCGAAUCUUGGCUCAGUGAGGUGGGUUAAGUCGUCACAAGGUC
This 1340-nucleotide ribosomal RNA is filed under the name metagenome. RNAcentral describes it as "bacterial SSU rRNA". It matches the Rfam family "Archaeal small subunit ribosomal RNA". The record is from RNAcentral.